RNAcentral lists this ribosomal RNA (254 nucleotides) under uncultured bacterium. RNAcentral describes it as "partial 16S ribosomal RNA". It matches the Rfam family "Bacterial small subunit ribosomal RNA", at positions 524 to 777 of the family's 1533-position model. The record is from RNAcentral.
UACGGAGAUCCAAGCGUUAUCCGGAUUUAUUGGGUUUAAAGGGUGCGUAGGCGGCUUUUUAAGUCAGGGGUGAAAGACGGUAGCUCAACUAUCGCAGUGCCCUUGAUACUGAAGGAGCUUGAAUACACUAGAGGUAGGCGGAAUGUGACAAGUAGCGGUGAAAUGCAUAGAUAUGUCACAGAACACCAAUUGCGAAGGCAGCUUACUAUGGUGUCAUUGACGCUGAGGCACGAAAGCGUGGGGAUCAAACAGGA